This 2047-nucleotide long non-coding RNA is filed under the name Homo sapiens (human). RNAcentral describes it as "HSALNT0025759". Lineage: Eukaryota; Metazoa; Chordata; Mammalia; Primates; Hominidae. The record is from RNAcentral.
CUUUUAUUUGGUUCAGCAGUGGCCACAGUAAGCCCUGCCCUGGGGCAUUAGCUGGUGCCCUUGUACGCGCACAAACCAAGCAUUUUAUUGCAUAAUCCAAAAUGAUGUAGCCUGUGGCCUGUCGGGAGGCGCUCCCUUCUUGUGGAGGAAGGAAGGUCAAGAAGGAGCUCCCGGCAGACCAGGGUUCGCUGCGCCCAGAGACCUGCCCAGAGACCUGCUGCACGCCGGGGCGCAAGGCCGAGUCAUCCCAGGCGUCCGUGGGCCGUGAUUCCCACUCACGCCGGGGGCCCAGGCAGGCAGAGAAGAGUUAAUGAGCGCGCAAGUGCAGGCGGUCACUCCUGGGCCUGAAACUCCCGCGCUGUGCAUUCAGGGCCCUCGUGGCUCUCAGAGGCGCGUCCCAGGGGCGCACACUGCACCUUGGGCUGGGCAGCUCCGCCGGGUUGUGGCGAGCGGAUGAGGGAAGGACGCAGAAACCAGGGCGGAGGAGCCGCGAGGGGCAGGACGAGGCUGCAUGGGCCAGCGAGGGGGUCGACACCGAGCCAGAGUGAGCGCGGGGCCUGGGGCGCAGAGCCCGCCCAGGGAGCCGGGAGACGCCGCGCAAGCUCCCCGGACAAACGCAAUGACCGAGGACGCGCGGGCGAGGCCGUCCAGGGAGCCCUGGUCCCUCAGCUGCACCGGACUGAGCCGCGACCGCUCAGCACGCGCUGCUUAUAAAUCAGGGGUGCGCUUCCCAAGCCCCGGGUGAGGUCCCCUACGUCGGCACAGCCUUAGGAGCUGCAAAGCAGCGCGCGCCUCCGGGGCUCCUGCGCGCCCCUUGAACCCCGCCUCCCGCAUCCUCCUGCAACAGCCUGGAGCUCCCUGUGCAGGACGCAGCGGGGGGCGGGGGGCGGUCUUAGGAGGCUGCGGGGCGCACUCCCACCUCCUGCCUCCCCGAGACCCCCAGCGCCUUCUCCAGGGUUUAGAGCGGAGGUGAAGGGGCCUCGUCCUGCACCGCCACUGGGCGCCUGGGCUGUUCAUCAUCGGUUACCGCCGAUUCAUAGGAACUCCUCAACACAUUGGCUCGGAAAUGUACAGUCAUAGGCAAUUUAUAAAACUGACAAAAAUUAUUCCGCUAAUGCCAGGAAUAACGGAGGAUAUUCAGAAAGAAAAACAGGAAUAUUUUCUUGUGUAAAUAAUAGAUAAAGAAUAAAAAAGUAAAUGAGCGUAAUCCAGCAGCAAUCCCCUUAGGGAGUAAUAAAACCCGAAAAGUCCAAUUUGCGCAGCAAGAUCCAUUAGGCAGGAAGUGAGGAAGCCAGACGCUGUCCUGCGGCCCUGAAGCGGGGAACUCACUGUGGGAGUUUGAUGCCUCAAAUCAGGAGCUGCGGAAGGAAGAAAUUUCAACGUUUCGUUAUUAUGCUUCAGUUCAGUGUGAGCAGGCUUUGUAUCCCAGUCUCUGAUCCCAAACAGAUAUCAGGAAAGGAUCAAAGCUAAAAAUAAAUGAAUGCCUGGGAAGUGCCAGAAGCAGGCAAUGCCACAUCUUUCUCAAGCUCCACAAUCACAAAGACAAGCCCUUGCAUUCUGACUGCCUAUCUGCAAGAGGACAAUGGAAAAUUAUAAAUAUAAAGUUACAUUUAAAACUAUCAGCACUGAAGAAAGGCGCACCAGGAUGUCCACUUCUCUGAGAUGGAGCUGCCGCAUUCCUCGCCGGGGUGCCCCUUAAACUGAAACACCUUAGACAUAACCACAAGCACUUCUCCCAAAGGGGAGAAGAAAACAGGCAGCCUCGGGACCUCAGAAGCUGAGGAAAAACAGAGUUGCCCCCUGACCCUGGAGCUCCCAUCCACCCAGAACAAGUGAGUCCCUGCUCUCCUGCAGCUCCCAAUCCACUUAGAACAGGCAAUGACGAUCCCUCAGGUUGGUGAAGAGCAUCUGAGAAAUCCAGGGCUGGCAUCGCAUGUGAUCAUGAGAACCCAACGCAUCCCCUCCAAGACCAAGAUUGUGGCACGGCCAUUGGUUCUCACCACUGUCCACAACUUGCUGAAAGUCCUGGCCUCUGCAAUUAGUCAAG